CUCAAAGUAACGAGAAGUUUGGGUCUCCAAGCUUGAGCACUGGAAGGAAGCGUCAAACUCAAAUGGCCUCGAAGAGACCUACGGUCAUGAACAGUCGACACGGCGACAAUCGAGAACCUUCAAACAAUGUCGGCAUCGAACAAGACAAAAGAUAAACAAAGUUUAAUAAACAACAACUCAAAGCAAGAAUAGACGAGGAAUCACAAACAACGCCGACGCCAAGCA
Molecule: long non-coding RNA, 225 nt
Filed under: Elaeis guineensis (African oil palm)
Lineage: Eukaryota; Viridiplantae; Streptophyta; Magnoliopsida; Arecales; Arecaceae
Description: long non-coding RNA (EGUI_LNC042754)
Source: RNAcentral